UAUUUUAUUUCGAGAAACACCCAUGCUUAUUUACUAGGACGAUUAACUGAACAACAUUAACAUAUGCAUGGGCCUUUAUUGCCUUUGGCGAACUAGGCUACAGCCUAGCCAAUCCUAGGAACCUCCGCCACCGUGUUGACCCAGAUGCGUACGCGCUUCUCAUUGAACUGCUGAGUAACAAAUGUUCCCACCGUGAUAGGCUGGACAUCGAGGUCCGGUCGAUCCGCUUUGAUCUUUUCCUCUGCCUCCUUGAUUGUACACCC
Molecule: long non-coding RNA, 263 nt
Organism: Lolium perenne
Lineage: Eukaryota; Viridiplantae; Streptophyta; Magnoliopsida; Poales; Poaceae
Source: RefSeq, a predicted model, not a curated record